UGCAUAUCAAUAAGCGGAGGAAAAGAAACCAACAGGGAUUGCCUCAGUAACGGCGAGUGAAGCGGCAAAAGCUCAAAUUUGAAACCCUCGGGAUUGUAAUUUGAAGAUUUGGCAUUGGAGAAAGCUAACCCAAGUUGCUUGGAAUAGUACGUCAUAGAGGGUGACAACCCCGUCUGGCUAACCGUUCUCCAUGUAUUGCCUUAUCAAAGAGUCGAGUUGUUUGGGAAUGCAGCUCAAAGUGGGUGGUAAACUCCAUCUAAAGCUAAAUACUGGUGAGAGACCGAUAGCGAACAAGUACUGUGAAGGAAAGGUGAAAAGAACUUUGAAAAGAGAGUGAAAUAGUAUGUGAAAUUGUUGAUAGGGAAGGAAAUGAGUGGAGAGUGGCCGAGGUUUCAGCCGCCCCUCGUGGGCGGUGUACUGCCGACGCCGAGUCAUCGAUAGCGAGACGAGGGUUACAAAUGGGAGCGCCUUCGGGCGUUCUCCCCUAACCCUCCACACUGCCACCGACGACAUAAUCCACCCAUUUCACCCGUCUUGAAACACGGACCA
Molecule: ribosomal RNA, 549 nt
Filed under: Yarrowia lipolytica
Lineage: Eukaryota; Fungi; Ascomycota; Dipodascomycetes; Dipodascales
Description: partial large subunit ribosomal RNA
Rfam family: Eukaryotic large subunit ribosomal RNA
Source: RNAcentral